RNAcentral lists this ribosomal RNA (821 nucleotides) under uncultured bacterium. Its description in RNAcentral is "bacterial SSU rRNA". It matches the Rfam family "Bacterial small subunit ribosomal RNA", at positions 60 to 875 of the family's 1533-position model. The record is from RNAcentral.
AGUCGAGGGGCAGCACGGGAGUAGCAAUACAACUGGUGGCGACCGGCGCACGGGUGAGUAACGCGUAUGCAACCUACCUAUCAGAGGGGAAUAACCCGGCGAAAGUCGGACUAAUACCGCAUAAAACAGGGGCACCGCAUGGUGAUAUUUGUUAAAGAAAUUCGCUGAUAGAUGGGCAUGCGUUCCAUUAGGUAGUUGGUGAGGUAACGGCUCACCAAGCCGACGAUGGAUAGGGGAACUGAGAGGUUGGUCCCCCACACUGGUACUGAGACACGGACCAGACUCCUACGGGAGGCAGCAGUGAGGAAUAUUGGUCAAUGGGCGGGAGCCUGAACCAGCCAAGUCGCGUGAAGGAAGAAGGAUCUAUGGUUCGUAAACUUCUUUUGCAGGGGAAUAAAGUGCAGGACGUGUCCUGUUUUGUAUGUACCCUGAGAAUAAGGAUCGGCUAACUCCGUGCCAGCAGCCGCGGUAAUACGGAGGAUCCGAGCGUUAUCCGGAUUUAUUGGGUUUAAAGGGUGCGUAGGUGGUUUGAUAAGUCAGCGGUGAAAGUUUGCAGCUUAACUGUAAAAAUGCCGUUGAAACUGUCGGACUUGAGUGUAAAUGAGGUAGGCGGAAUGCGUGGUGUAGCGGUGAAAUGCAUAGAUAUCACGCAGAACUCCGAUUGCGAAGGCAGCUUACUAAGCUACAACUGACACUGAAGCACGAAAGCGUGGGGAUCAAACAGGAUUAGAUACCCUGGUAGUCCACGCAGUAAACGAUGAUUACUAGCUGUUUGCGAUACACAGUAAGCGGCACAGCGAAAGCGUUAAGUAAUCCACCUG